UUUUAAUUGUGAUUGAAUUCAAAAAAAGUAGGAAUUAAAGGGACGGAGAAGUCACAAAAUGGAUGGGGAAGAAAGAAGGGCAGAAACGAGCAGGAAGAGGACAAGAAUAAGAGCAAAAAUUGAAGAGGAAACUUCAGAUUUUUCUGCACAAAACAUUGAUAGUUGUGCAAAAAAUUUGGAUUUAAUUACGUACCGUCGACGAAAUAUUGUUAGGAGAUUUAUAAUAAUUAAAAAAGAAGACAAAGAAUCAUUAUUGGGAUUUGUGUGAUGAAGAACGAUGAUAGCUCAGAGUAUUUUUU
RNAcentral lists this long non-coding RNA (299 nucleotides) under Olea europaea (common olive). RNAcentral describes it as "long non-coding RNA (OEUR_LNC015589)". Lineage: Eukaryota; Viridiplantae; Streptophyta; Magnoliopsida; Lamiales; Oleaceae. The record is from RNAcentral.